Molecule: ribosomal RNA, 890 nt
Filed under: Halobacterium salinarum
Lineage: Archaea; Methanobacteriati; Methanobacteriota; Halobacteria; Halobacteriales; Halobacteriaceae
Description: bacterial SSU rRNA
Rfam family: Archaeal small subunit ribosomal RNA
Source: RNAcentral
UCUGCCGGAGGCCAUUGCUAUCGGAGUCCGAUUUAGCCCUGCUAGUUGUGCGGGUUUAGACCCGCAGCGGAAAGCUCAGUAACACGUGGCCAAGCUACCCUGUGGACGGGAAUACUCUCGGGAAACUGAGGCUAAUCCCCGAUAACGCUUUGCUCCUGGAAGGGGCAAAGCCGGAAACGCUCCGGCGCCACAGGAUGCGGCUGCGGUCGAUUAGGUAGACGGUGGGGUAACGGCCCACCGUGCCCAUAAUCGGUACGGGUUGUGAGAGCAAGAGCCCGGAGACGGAAUCUGAGACAAGAUUCCGGGCCCUACGGGGCGCAGCAGGCGCGAAACCUUUACACUGUACGAAAGUGCGAUAAGGGGACUCCGAGUGUGAAGGCAUAGAGCCUUCACUUUUGUACACCGUAAGGUGGUGCACGAAUAAGGACUGGGCAAGACCGGUGCCAGCCGCCGCGGUAAUACCGGCAGUCCGAGUGAUGGCCGAUCUUAUUGGGCCUAAAGCGUCCGUAGCUGGCUGAACAAGUCCGUUGGGAAAUCUGUCCGCUUAACGGGCAGGCGUCCAGCGGAAACUGUUCAGCUUGGGACCGGAAGACCUGAGGGGUACGUCUGGGGUAGGAGUGAAAUCCUGUAAUCCUGGACGGACCGCCGGUGGCGAAAGCGCCUCAGGAGAACGGAUCCGACAGUGAGGGACGAAAGCUAGGGUCUCGAACCGGAUUAGAUACCCGGGUAGUCCUAGCUGUAAACGAUGUCCGCUAGGUGGUGGCGCAGGCUACGAGCCUGCGCUGUGCCGUAGGGAAGCCGAGAAGCGGACCGCCUGGGAAGUACGUCUGCAAGGAUGAAACUAAAGGAAUGGCGGGGGAGCACUACAACCGGAGGAGCCUGCGGUUUAU